GGUUGAUCCUGCCAGUAGUCAUAUGCUUGUCUAAAAGAUUAAGCCAUGCAUGUCUAAGUAUAAACUGUUUAUACAAGUGAAACUGCGAAUGGCUCAUUAAAUCAGUUAUAAUUUAUUUGAUAGUACCCCUUUACUACUUGGAUAACCGUGGUAAUUCUAGAGCUAAUACAUGCCUUGAAAAGUCCUGACCGUUUCCGGAAGGGAUGCAGUUAUUAGAUACAAAACCAACCCGGGCAACCGGUCCUUUGGUGAUUCAUGAUAACUUUGCGAAUCGCAUAGCCUCUUGCGCUGG
This 292-nucleotide ribosomal RNA is filed under the name uncultured eukaryote. RNAcentral describes it as "partial 18S ribosomal RNA". It matches the Rfam family "Eukaryotic small subunit ribosomal RNA", at positions 6 to 287 of the family's 1831-position model. The record is from RNAcentral.